Molecule: non-coding RNA, 46 nt
Filed under: Schistosoma curassoni
Lineage: Eukaryota; Metazoa; Platyhelminthes; Trematoda; Strigeidida; Schistosomatidae
Source: RNAcentral
GUACUGCUGAGGAGUCCCACAAUAGGACGAAACGCCCGUCCAGUGC